GGCGGCGUAGAAGAGGAAAGGCUGGGGGUUUCGGAUGGUUGUUUUUGAAGCCAUCAGUAUUCUUGAAGAAGCAGCAUAUCUUGAACUGUCCUAUGGGUGAAGGCUUUGAUGUGGUCCUGUAAAAACUGAGGAAGAUUUGGAGGAUCAUCUGAAUACCCAUCCAACAGAGAUCCAUGAUUCAUGUAUUUCUCAAGACAGCCAUACACUAAAAUUAUAAGAUCAUAAGAAUAUUAAUUAUAUUCUACCAAUGCAAUACAAGCAUUGAAAUGGAUGGCAUCUGAUCCUGCUUCAUGUGAUUCUUCAUUUAGCUCUGGACUCUUUACAUCAUUAAGUUGUAAUGGUUUCCAGGUUAUGGCACUGGUAGAGGAUCGUGACUGCAAGUUGUCCAGGUUCUUGGUGUUUUGAACAAAGAAUUCGACAAAUCUCACAGCAAAGAAAAGAAAGAAUAAAGCAACAGAAGAACGAAAGCAGGAAUUUAUUGAAAACGAAAGCACACUGCACGCAGUGUGGGAGUGGACCUCAGCAGUGGCUGGCUUUUUCUUUGCAGGAAUUUAAAAGCAACCCUAUGAAUAUAACAUUUGUCAAAAAGAGCAAGUGCCAAGCCAGUUGAGAAUAACCUUACAAUGUGUACAAGGAUUCCAGUUCUGCUGCUAUAUAAACCAGCCUCAAAUGCUUAUGCAACAUGAAAAUGGCAAGGAUGAAGGAAGAAGUGUUAUCAAUUCUGUUGAUGGACCCCUUAAUCUCUUCUACUGAUUAUCUUCUACUUGAACCAGUGCCAAAUUAAUGUUGCAAGCUUUGUCUUGAAAUAUGUAAGACUUAUAACUUUGUUGUUAUUCCACUCGAUUGUGAUGAAUAUGGGU
Molecule: long non-coding RNA, 860 nt
Filed under: Homo sapiens (human)
Lineage: Eukaryota; Metazoa; Chordata; Mammalia; Primates; Hominidae
Description: long non-coding RNA NONHSAT203988.1
Source: RNAcentral